CACACACACAUACAUACAUACGGGUGGUUCUCUGUCAAAUCAAAGAUCAAACAUUUUUUUCUUCAACCCAGGGUGAAUAUGUUCCAGAAACAGUUUCCAAUGCACCUGAAUUUUUUCACAUUUUUAAAUUACUUUUUACCAAAAUGGUACGGAGCCAAAGAUGUCAAUUUUGGCAAUUUUUGGGUUUUGAGCACAAAUUAAUUAAUUCAUAGCUCCUCAGGGAAGCAUUUUUCACUAUAGACAUCGAUAUACUUUAUUUUGUAAAAUUUUCUCACCUUUUUAAUUAAAAUACUCUUAAAGACAUAUAUAUAUAUGUACAUUUCCGCGGACAUUUGAACGCCUCCCAUAGAACUUCAUAGAUAUGAUACUAAUUUAUAUAAAGCAUACUUUCGCAUAUAGAUAGCAUAUUUACAUAUAGUUCGUUAAAGUAUACAUUAUUAUCAGUAAUUUAUUCCUAGAUAUCAACAAAUAAGUAAAUUAUUUGAAUAAAUUUUAUUUUGAAUGCUUAUGCAUUCAGUCAAAAUGUUUGAAUGCAAAAAUGAAAAGCAUUCAAAUUUUGAAUGCGCUUUUAUAGGUUAUAAAUAUACACACGUAGUUACAAUUAGUAAUAUUGCUAUAGACAAAUUUACAGAAUUUAUGUUUAUUUAAAUUAUAAUAUUUAUGUAAAUUAUUUUCAAACGAAAAAAUGUCGCAAAAAAAAGUUCAAAAUAUUUGAAUUUUCGGGCUUUAUCUUUAGUAGAUGAUUUAUCUAAAUGUUUAAUUGCUGACCCAUACUUUAAGUUUAAUGUUAUGAAAGUGAACAAUUCUAGUGAAAAUUUUAUUAAUUGCAAUGAAAGCCAUUUAUUUCAAAUAAUAAAUCAAUUUAUUCUAAACAAAAAUUAUGAAAAAACUAUUAAAGAGUUACAAAAAUGUGUUGACCUUCAAAGUUUGUCAAGUGAUUUCGAACUCAAUAUUUUUGAACGGCAACUUUAUAUGUAUUUGAAUAUAAUUAAUCCGCAGUGUAUUGUUGCCAUUGAAGAAACAUUGAGGUAUAAGACCAAAAUUAGACAAGUAAAAGUUGUAGCUAAGAGAGAUUUUAAAAGAAGUGAAAAAAUAGAAUGCCUCAUAGGUUAUUGUGCAAAGUUAAGCUCUGAAAAUAUAGCGUGGUUAGAAUCUCAUAGAAAAGAUUUUUCUAUAAUGCACAGCUCGAGAUCUAAGCAUACGUUGCUGCUGUUAGGUCCUGUAGCAUUUAUCAACCAUGAUUGCCAUGCUAAUUGCCAUUAUACUUUAAAUGACAAAGGUGAAGUCUUUGUUGUUGCGGAUACACACAUUAAAGCGGAACAAGAGAUAACUUGCUUUUAUGGCAUUGAUUACUUUAGACUUAACAAUUUGCACUGUCUUUGUUCAAGUUGUGAUGACAAACAUACUGGUGCAUUUCAUCAAGAACAAGAAAAUUUAGAUAUUGAUUUGUCAAAAAAAAACCAGUUAUUGUUAACGAAAGAUUCUUUGAAUGUAGAGCUACCUCAGGGUAUUCUGCCAACAAAAACAUCCUAACUGUUAUUAAAAAAUGGAAGACAAAUAUAAAAUUGAUUUCUGUAUAAAUGUUGUCUAAUUUCUGUAAAACUAAAAAAAAUUUAGACACUGUUAUUUCUUUCUGGGCUUUUUAUUUUCAUUUUUAUCAAAACCAUUUUCAAAUUUUAAAAGAAUUUUAUUCUAUAGACGACGUGAAUUUUAUAGACAGUAUAAGAAAUUUUCGGUUACUGACAAAAGAACUGCAAAGUAAAAAAAUUGAUUUCAAUUGUCAAUGAAAGGUUACGAAUUUUGAAAAUAAAGGUUUAAAGUUUGACAGUACAUUGUACGCUAGUCUUAUAUCAGUGCUUAAGCAGAUCUAUACAAUAGAUGAAUUAACUUCAAAAAACUUUGAAUUAUCAGAUAAUGAAAUUGAGAUUAUAGUUAAUAAGAUAUAUAAAAAUAAUCACCCGACUAGUUACAAAGCUGUUUCCAAAUUUUUGUAUGAUUUUAAAUCAGAGAUUGAGCAUGAUAUAAGAACUAUCAUGGAAAAUCAAAAUGCAAAAACACUUGCGCCUGAGCAUCAAAAAAUGAAAAAUUACACGAAUAAAUUGAUUGCUAUUUGCAUAUGUUAUUUUUACAAAGAAUUUGCACAUUGCAUAUAUAAAGGUGAAAAAAUGCCAUUAGCUGCAAAAAAAUGUAUCUUAGUUAAAAUGCAUGGACUCCAACCUACAAACAAUCAAAAAUCGAAACUAGAUAACUAUCUUAAUUGGUAUAAAGUUUAUUUACAAGAGGAAUCAAAAUACAUAAUAGAUACUGCUAUGGAAUAUGUAAUGUUAUCUGAUAUUCAAAGACGAGAACUUAGGAUUGUUAUAAAACCUCUUGAAAAAGAAAACAAAAAUUUUAAAACUUCAGAAAUUCCUGCAAAUAUAUCCGAACAAGAAAUAAGAUCAAAUGAUGCUUUUAUAAAAUAUACUAGACAAGAAAUUUAUGACAUUGUUGGUUUUAAUAAUGAAAUAGAUGAACAUUUAGUUGAGCUCGAAAAAGUUUCAGAUAAAUAUAAUGAUUCAAAUUGUACAGAAGAAAAUCUUACAGACCAUAAAAAAGUUAAAGAAGAUAAACAUCACCUUCUAGAUGUCGAAAAUCCAUGUCUUAAUAAUUUACGAAAAAAGAAUUAUAAGAAAAAAAGUAUAUGCAAAGUUCUACCAGUACUGCACUACUCAAAAUGUGUGCACUUUUUAUUUAGGUUUAUUUGUGAAGUAUACUUUGUUAAUUAAUAUUCCAUUCAUACAAUUUGCUAGUUAAGAUAGCUAUCAUAAUUAAAAAUAAUUGAUUUUGUUAUAGAAGGUUGAAGAUUGUUUUAUGCAAGUUGGAGCAGUCACCUAUUUCCAUGAUUAAAAUAAAAUAAAUGAUUGAAUUUUUUAUCUUAAAUUUACCAUCUAGAUAAUAAAGUAGUUGAUCAAAUGUUGGAUGGAUUAGCUAAUUUUGAGGCAUACGAUAAUAACAAGCAAGUUUUCCUUUUAAAAAAAUUAGUUAUUUUAAGCUUAUUAACUGAUUAUAACACUGAAUUAAAUGCAUAUAUGAGUUGUGGAAAAGUAUCGCACAAAACUACACAAAAUUUUGCAUUUAAUUUAUGGCAAUGAAGUUAAAGAAUGCCAUGUUAUUUUAUUAGAUCUUCUUAAACCAUAUAGAUAUUUGGUGAGAAAAAAAAUAGAAGAUUUGAGAAAAUCUUUUAAGUUGAAUAAUAUUGUGUUGAAAAAUCCAUUUAAUGAAGCAUCUUUCUUUGAAGAUUUCGAACACACAGUUUAUGAAGCCAUUCAGCGAAUAAAGACUAAAUAAAAAAUGUGAUAAAAGAAAACUUUUCAGUACUUUAAAUAUAAUUACACGUGUUCUUAAAAGUUACGUAUUUAAAUAUAGACUACGAAAAGUUGUAUCAAAAGGAGAAAGAGGAUUGCAUCUGUAAAUAUUUAUGUAAAUAUGUAUCACGUUGUCAGAACGAAAAAAACCAACUUUAAUUUAUUUCUUAUUAUAAUACAAUAUAUUACAAUAAAAAAUAUCAAUUUCACAAGAAA
This is an RNA transcript of Nasonia vitripennis (jewel wasp), 3560 nucleotides long. RefSeq lists it as uncharacterized. The record is from RefSeq and is a predicted model, not a curated record. NCBI's taxonomy places the organism in Eukaryota, Metazoa, Arthropoda, Insecta, Hymenoptera, Pteromalidae. The transcript has 8 exons.